GAAUGUGAGGGUAAUCUGGCUGCAACAUCUGUCACCCCUUGAUCGCCAGGGUUGAUUUGGCCGACCUUGCUGGCCAGGUAGGUAUCACCUUCCUCCCUCACCGCUCCUAGUGCAUCCCUCCCAAAGCUGCGUGCUCAGUUGAAGAGGACGAUCUUCCCUGACACAGGAGAACCAUUACUCGGUCGAGGGUAUCCCAUAGCUGCACUCCCCUGCUAAAACCACCAAACAAGCUCCAAGGAAGACCCUGUCUCAAUUUUUUUUUUUUUUUAAAGAGAGAGUGAGAGGGAGGGAGGGAGGGAGAGAGAGAGAGAGAGAGAGAGAGAGAAUUUAAAUAUUUAUUUUUU
RNAcentral lists this small nuclear RNA (344 nucleotides) under Urocitellus parryii (Arctic ground squirrel). Its description in RNAcentral is "7SK RNA (ENSUPAG00010007716.1)". It matches the Rfam family "7SK RNA". From Rfam's summary of the family: 7SK was discovered as an abundant small nuclear RNA in the mid-70s but a possible function has only recently been suggested. Two independent studies have found that 7SK RNA binds the CDK9/cyclin T complex (known as elongation factor P-TEFb). Lineage: Eukaryota; Metazoa; Chordata; Mammalia; Rodentia; Sciuridae. The record is from RNAcentral.